GGAUAUGCUCUAGUUCACUCUGUUUCGAAACCUCCAGCGCUUUCGUUGCCUCUCUUUCACCCACCUGAUCUUAAUGGCCCUUUUCCUCCUUGCUGUUGCAGAGUUUAAGAAGUGGCUGUUGAUCUUUAUUUGGUGUUUGUGUAUGUGGUUUUGUGUUAUGAGCAGUGUUAAGUGAAUUAUUGGCGACCAGGCUUCGCCGUUUCAAGAGCAACUGCUAUCUCGCUUCGGCUCUCUUAGAUUCUCUCCUUUUUCUUCUACUUUCUUCUCAUCUCGCAAUAGAAGUUCUCACCUUACUUUCACCUUUGAGUCUUCACACUCUAUAUCCUUCCACAAACCUUUCAAUCCCAAAAUUUGUUGUCAGAAUUCAUUGAAUGCCCUCUCUCAGCCAACCAG
This 393-nucleotide small RNA is filed under the name Histoplasma capsulatum var. duboisii H88. Its description in RNAcentral is "Histoplasma capsulatum H88 hypothetical RNA". The record is from RNAcentral. Lineage: Eukaryota; Fungi; Ascomycota; Eurotiomycetes; Onygenales; Ajellomycetaceae.